This 497-nucleotide ribosomal RNA is filed under the name uncultured bacterium. Its description in RNAcentral is "partial 16S ribosomal RNA". It matches the Rfam family "Bacterial small subunit ribosomal RNA", at positions 28 to 507 of the family's 1533-position model. The record is from RNAcentral.
GAUGAACGCUGGCGGCGUGCCUAAUACAUGCAAGUCGAGCGAACAGACGAGGAGCUUGCUCCUCUGACGUUAGCGGCGGACGGGUGAGUAACACGUGGAUAACCUACCUAUAAGACUGGGAUAACUUCGGGAAACCGGAGCUAAUGCCGGAUAAUAUAUUGAACCGCAUGGUUCAAUAGUGAAAGACGGUUUUGCUGUCACUUAUAGAUGGAUCCGCGCCGCAUUAGCUAGUUGGUAAGGUAACGGCUUACCAAGGCAACGAUGCGUAGCCGAUCUGAGAGGAUGAUCAGCCACACUGGAACUGAGACACGGUCCAGACUCCUACGGGAGGCAGCAGUAGGGAAUAUUCCGCAAUGGGCGAAAGCUUGACGGAGCAACGCCGCGUGAGUGAUGAAGGUCUUCGGAUCGUAAAACUCUGUUAUUAGGGAAGAACAAAUGUGUAAGUAACUAUGCACGUCUUGACGGUACCUAAUCAGAAAGCCACGGCUAACUACGUG